AUUGAACGCUGGCGGCAUGCCUUACACAUGCAAGUCGAGGGGCAGCGCGGGUAGCAAUACCUGGCGGCGACCGGCAAACGGGUGCGGAACACGUACGCAACCUUCCCAAAACUGGGGAAUAGCCCUCCGAAAGGAGGAUUAAUACCCCGUAACAUAACGAAGUGGCAUCACUUUGUUAUUAUAGUUCCGACGGUUUUGGAUGGGCGUGCGCCUGAUUAGGUAGUUGGCGGGGUAACGGCCCACCAAGCCUACGAUCAGUAACUGGUGUGAGAGCACGACCAGUCACACGGGCACUGAGACACGGGCCCGACUCCUACGGGAGGCAGCAGUAGGGAAUAUUGGACAAUGGGGGCAACCCUGAUCCAGCCAUGCCGCGUGAGUGAAGAAGGCCCUCGGGUUGUAAAGCUCUUUUGUCCGGAAAGAAAAGCAAUCGGUUAAUACCCGGUUGUUCUGACGGUACCGGAAGAAUAAGCACCGGCUAACUUCGUGCCAGCAGCCGCGGUAAGGUAGAUGAGU
This 516-nucleotide ribosomal RNA is filed under the name uncultured bacterium. RNAcentral's name for it is "bacterial SSU rRNA". It matches the Rfam family "Bacterial small subunit ribosomal RNA", at positions 30 to 533 of the family's 1533-position model. The record is from RNAcentral.